AGAGUUUGAUCCUGGCUCAGAUUGAACGCUGGCGGCAUGCUUUACACAUGCAAGUCGAACGGCAGCACGGGCUUCGGCCUGGUGGCGAGUGGCGAACGGGUGAGUAAUGCGUCGGAACGCGCCGAGUAGUGGGGGAUAACGCAGCGAAAGCUGUGCCAAUACCGCAUACGUACUGAGGUAGAAAGUGGGGGACCUUCGGGCCUCACGCUAUUCGAGCGGCCGACGUCUGAUUAGCUAGUUGGUGGGGUAAAGGCUCACCAAGGCGACGAUCAGUAGCGGGUCUGAGAGGAUGAUCCGCCACACUGGGACUGAGACACGGCCCAGACUCCUACGGGAGGCAGCAGUGGGGAAUUUUGGACAAUGGGCGCAAGCCUGAUCCAGCCAUGCCGCGUGUCUGAAGAAGGCCUUCGGGUUGUAAAGGACUUUUGUCCGGGAGCAAAGCCUACUUGUUA
This 452-nucleotide ribosomal RNA is filed under the name uncultured bacterium. Its description in RNAcentral is "bacterial SSU rRNA". It matches the Rfam family "Bacterial small subunit ribosomal RNA", at positions 8 to 462 of the family's 1533-position model. The record is from RNAcentral.